UCUCCGUAGGUGAACCUGCGGAGGGAUCAUUACCGAGAGAGGGCCGUCAAAACGCCCGACCUCCCAACCCUUUGUUAAACCAAACCACGUUGCCUCGGGGGGCGACCCGGGCCCGUCGGCUCGGGGCCCCCGGUGGACAAUCUCAAAACACUGCAUCUUUGCGUCGGAUUACAAAGUUUAAUGAAUUAAAACUUUCAACAACGGAUCUCUUGGUUCUGGCAUCGAUGAAGAACGCAGC
This 238-nucleotide unclassified non-coding RNA is filed under the name uncultured fungus. Its description in RNAcentral is "sequence contains ITS1, 5.8S rRNA gene". The stretch from base 190 to 238 matches the Rfam family "5.8S ribosomal RNA", at positions 1 to 49 of the family's 154-position model. The record is from RNAcentral. Lineage: Eukaryota; Fungi.